CGGCAAUGGAGGAAACUCUGACCGAGCAACGCCGCGUGAACGAUGAAGUAUUUCGGUAUGUAAAGUUCUUUUAUUAGGGAAGAAUGAAUGAUGGAAAAAUCAUUCUGACUGUACCUAAUGAAUAAGCCCCGGCUAACUAUGUGCCAGCAGCCGCGGUAAUACAUAGGGGGCAAGCGUUAUCCGGAAUUAUUGGGCGUAAAGGGUGCGUAGGCGGUUAAAUAAGUUUAUGGUCUAAGUGCAAUGCUCAACAUUGUGAUGCUAUAAAAACUGUUUAGCUAGAGUAAGAUAGAGGCAAGUGGAAUUCCAUGUGUAGUGGUAAAAUGCGUAAAUAUAUGGAGGAACACCAGUAGCGAAGGCGGCUUGCUGGGUCUUUACUGACGCUGAGGCACGAAAGCGUGGGGAGCAAACAGGAUUAGAUACCCUGGUAGUCCACGCCGUAAACGAUGAGUACUAAACGUUGGGUAAAACCAGUGUUGAAGUUAACACAUUAAGUACUCCGCCUGAGUAGUACGUACGCAAGUAUGAAACUUAAAGGAAUUGACGGGACUCCGCCCCAACGGUGGAUCAUGUUGUUUAAUUUGAAGGUACCCGAAAAACCUCACCAGGUCUUUACAUGCUUCUGCAAAGUUGUAGAAAUACAGUGGAGGUUAUCAGUUGCACAGGUGGUGCAUGGUUGUCGUCAGCUCGUGUCGUGAGAUGUUAGGUUAAGUCCCGCAACGAGCGCAACCCUUAUUGUUAGUUACCAGCACGUAAUGGUGGGGACUUUAGCAAGACUGCCAGUUAUAACAUGGAGGAAGGUGGGGACGACGUCAAAUCAUCAUGCCCCUUAUGACCUGGGCUACAAACGUGAUACAAUGGCUGUUACAAAGGGUAGCUGAA
This 879-nucleotide ribosomal RNA is filed under the name Candidatus Phytoplasma asteris-related phytoplasma. RNAcentral's name for it is "bacterial SSU rRNA". It matches the Rfam family "Bacterial small subunit ribosomal RNA", at positions 366 to 1254 of the family's 1533-position model. Lineage: Bacteria; Bacillati; Mycoplasmatota; Mollicutes; Acholeplasmatales; Acholeplasmataceae. The record is from RNAcentral.